This 200-nucleotide unclassified non-coding RNA is filed under the name Hevea brasiliensis (rubber tree). Lineage: Eukaryota; Viridiplantae; Streptophyta; Magnoliopsida; Malpighiales; Euphorbiaceae. The record is from RNAcentral.
AAACUUCAGUGGAGAUGAUCAAAAGCCUAUAAUUGACAGGGGGGAAGCUCAGCAUGGUUCUGAUCUUCCAGAUGGCCAAAGCUUAUUCAGUUUACCUGGGCAAUAUGGGAUCGAUGCAAAAUCAGUACGACAUGAAUAUAUCACUGAAUCAAGCAACAAUGCUAAUGCUAUUGAUGACAAUUUCCUGCUUGAUGAGCCAU